Tilletiaria anomala is the source of this 106-nucleotide transfer RNA. It matches the Rfam family "tRNA". Rfam says of the family: Transfer RNA (tRNA) molecules are approximately 80 nucleotides in length. Their secondary structure includes four short double-helical elements and three loops (D, anti-codon, and T loops). Lineage: Eukaryota; Fungi; Basidiomycota; Exobasidiomycetes; Georgefischeriales; Tilletiariaceae. The record is from Rfam.
GAUGCCUUCGCAUAGUGGUUAGUGUGCUUGCUUUAGGUUAUUUCAACGCUGCAGCGGACUAGACGCAAGUCCUUAGGGAUCGUGGGUUCGAACCCCACAGGCAUCA